GCCAGGCAUGGUGGUGUGCAUCUGUAGUCCCAGCUACUUGGGAGGCUGAGGUGGGAGGAUCACUUGAGCCCAGGAGGUCAAGGCUGCAGUGAGCUGUGAUCAUGCCACUGCACCCCAGCCUGGGCAACAGAGUGAGACCCUGUCUCAA
RNAcentral lists this non-coding RNA (148 nucleotides) under Nomascus leucogenys (northern white-cheeked gibbon). The record is from Rfam by way of RNAcentral. Lineage: Eukaryota; Metazoa; Chordata; Mammalia; Primates; Hylobatidae.